This 253-nucleotide ribosomal RNA is filed under the name uncultured bacterium. RNAcentral's name for it is "partial 16S ribosomal RNA". It matches the Rfam family "Bacterial small subunit ribosomal RNA", at positions 524 to 776 of the family's 1533-position model. The record is from RNAcentral.
UACGAAGGGGGCUAGCGUUGCUCGGAAUCACUGGGCGUAAAGCGCACGUAGGCGGAUCGUUAAGUCAGGGGUGAAAUCCUGGAGCUCAACUCCAGAACUGCCUUUGAUACUGAGGAUCUUGAGUUCGGGAGAGGUGAGUGGAACUGCGAGUGUAGAGGUGAAAUUCGUAGAUAUUCGCAAGAACACCAGUGGCGAAGGCGGCUCAGUGGCCCGAUACUGACGCUGAGGCACGAAAGCGUGGGGAGCAAACAGG